CUCACCAGCCUCCCGCGCGUGCACGCCCGCGGCCGCAGCUGAACCGCCGUAUGUUCUAGAAGAAGCCUAAGAGUGGGAUUCCUGGGGAGUAGGAGCCUCACGCCUCUCGCAUCAUGGUGAGGAAGAACAGUAUCCCCGACGGCUCCAAUCUGAGGGGCGCUGGGCAGAAAGACAUCUCAUCAGAACCCAGGAAGCAAUGAGAAACUGUCUCAUGAAAGCCUCCAGGGAAGAUAAAAAGCUCUCUGCAAGCCAGGGGAGGGCUGUCACCAAAACCAUUCUUUGCACUCUGGUCUCAGACUUCACAGCCUCCAGACUGUACCCAGACUGAUGGAGAGGCCAGAAUCUCUUCUCAAGCAUUGCUGGUCACUGUGUCAGGUGGAACAGAGAGCUGGGAACAGAGUGACGCUCGCCACUGCCAUCCACGACUCAUCGUCCAGGACAGACAACAAAGCCCGCGAAUGCCGUCGUAUUGGCCCCCUAAUGAGGUCAGGGAUUUUGGCGCCGAGCAAGGAAAAAUAUAUGACCACAAGGUGGCAGUAGCACACAAGGAAUUUUCUUUGGAGGCUGUUUGGACAGGUUUGCACGUGAGAAGGGUCCUCGCUGCUUGAAACCUGCCAAAGGCAAAGGGCUGGGGGCUGCUACCCAGAAGGGGAGGUGGGCUAGGGAACAAGAGGGCUAUUGAAGAGGAGGCUUCUGGGUCUAGGCGCUGUUGUUCCCCUGCAGAGGCAGGGAGCCUCGGGUCAGAGAGCUCCAGCCCACAGCAGCAGUUUGGGGUCUUGUGGUGGUGCAGGGUUUACCUAUGGCUAGCAGACGCUGGCUGCAAUUUCUUGGGGUAUGCAAAGCAGGCAGGCUCUAACUAGUUAAAAAUCUGCUUCUUGGGUCUAUAUUUUAAACAAUUGCAUGUGUAAAACUUUGAGUUUGGCGCCAA
Long non-coding RNA from Globicephala melas (long-finned pilot whale), 928 nucleotides. RefSeq lists it as uncharacterized. Lineage: Eukaryota; Metazoa; Chordata; Mammalia; Artiodactyla; Delphinidae. The record is from RefSeq and is a predicted model, not a curated record.